GUCUAUAUACGUAUAGCAUAUCAAUAAGCGGAGGAAAAGAAACUAACAAGGAUUCCCUUAGUAACGGCGAGUGAAGCGGGAAGAGCUCAAAUUUGAAAUCUUCAAGGUUUUACCUUGACGAAUUGUAGUUUAAAGAAGUGUUUUCUGUUGAAGUUUUGGUAAAAGUUCUUUGGAAUAGGACAUCAUAGAGGGUGAGAAUCCCGUAUUUGACCAUUAUUUUCCAGCUGUGUGAUACACUUUCAAAGAGUCGGAUUGUUUGGGAAUGCAGUCCAAAAUGGGUGGUAAAUUUCAUCUAAAGCUAAAUAUUGGCGAGAGACCGAUAGCGAACAAGUACCGUGAGGGAAAGAUGAAAAGAACUUUGAAAAGAGAGUUAAACAGUACGUGAAAUUGUCAAAAGGGAAGCGUUUGACACUAGUGUUGUUUUUCCGAAAAUCAAUUACGAAUGUUUUAUUUUUGAGGAGUUAUGACUUCAUCGGCUUGCUUCUCUCUUUAUGAAACUUUCUUAAUGCACUUUUCGGUUAACAAGUCAACAUCAAUUUCUUUUGUUGUAAAAGGGUAUGAGGAAGGUGGCUUUCUUUUCGGAGAAAGUGUUUAUAGCCUUGUAGCCUCUGCAAUCGGAGAGAUUGAGGUCUGCAGCGUAGAUCCUUCGGGGUUAGAUACAUUUGUGCUAAGUUAUAGCUUUUCAUAGACAACUUGUUGACUAUGUUUAGUCUUGUAGCUUACUCGCUUAUGCUAUUUUACCUACGCUUAGGAUGUUGACACACGCGCGUGCUCG
RNAcentral lists this ribosomal RNA (775 nucleotides) under uncultured Neocallimastigales. Its description in RNAcentral is "partial large subunit ribosomal RNA". It matches the Rfam family "Eukaryotic large subunit ribosomal RNA", at positions 27 to 643 of the family's 3401-position model. Lineage: Eukaryota; Fungi; Neocallimastigomycota; Neocallimastigomycetes; Neocallimastigales. The record is from RNAcentral.